RNAcentral lists this long non-coding RNA (667 nucleotides) under Junco hyemalis (dark-eyed junco). RNAcentral's name for it is "lncRNA (ENSJHYG00000013719.1)". Lineage: Eukaryota; Metazoa; Chordata; Aves; Passeriformes; Passerellidae. The record is from RNAcentral.
CUGUGAGGGUGGUGAAGCACUAAAACAGGUUGCCCAGAGAAGUUGUGAACACCCUGUCUGUGGAAGUGUUCAAGGCCAGGUUGAAUGGAGCUCUGAGCAGCCUGGUGUAGUGGAAGAUGUCCUUGUCCAUAGCAAAGGGAUGGAAUGAGGUAAUCUUUAGGAUCCCUUCUAACCCAGACCAUUCUAUGAUUCUAUUAUUUUAAUUUCAUUUUCAGACCAACCUGUGCUUUGUGAGUUUUGAUGAUCUUCCCUCUUUCCUUGCCCAAAGGAAACUGUUUGUGACAUCUGGGGAAGAUUAUACAAAGCCAGCAACAUCUCCUGUUGAUACCCCUGAUGGCCAAGAGACUGCCUUUUCCAAAAUGAAAUCUGUCCUAGAAAAAGAUCUCCAGUUUGUGGUAAAAAUAACUAUUACUUCAGAGGCCCAUGGAAAAGCACCUGCCUGGGUAGCAGGAGACUGGCAAAUCACAGAUACAAAAAUGGAUGUGACACCUUCUGUGCAGAACCUCCAUUGGUGACGUUGAGCUGCCCCAGCUUCCUUUUUUCCUUGGAGAACUUUGUAUUAUCUUGAUUCUUAGUGACACAUGGAAGGUAAAAUGGUCUAAAUCUUAAUGAUUCGUGGGAUGGGGACUGUUUGUCAGCUUCAAUAAAUCUGUUAGCCUCUUUGACA